GCACAAGCGGUGGAGCAUGUGGUUUAAUUCGACGCAACGCGCAGAACCUUACCAGCCCUUGACAUGUCCAGGACCGGUCGCAGAGAUGUGACCUUCUCUUCGGAGCCUGGAGCACAGGUGCUGCAUGGCUGUCGUCAGCUCGUGUCGUGAGAUGUUGGGUUAAGUCCCGCAACGAGCGCAACCCCCGUCCUUAGUUGCUACCAUUUAGUUGAGCACUCUAAGGAGACUGCCGGUGAUAAGCCGAGAGGAAGGUGGGGAUGACGUCAAGUCCUCAUGGCCCUUACGGGCUGGGCUACACACGUGCUACAAUGGCGGUGACAAUGGGAAGCAAAGGCGCAAGUCCUAGCAAAUCUCAAAAAGCCGUCUCAGUUCGGAUUGGGCUCUGCAACUCGAGCCCAUGAAGUUGGAAUCGCUAGUAAUCGUGGAUUAGCAUGCCACGGUGAAUACGUUCCCGGGC
This 457-nucleotide ribosomal RNA is filed under the name uncultured bacterium. RNAcentral's name for it is "bacterial SSU rRNA". It matches the Rfam family "Bacterial small subunit ribosomal RNA", at positions 923 to 1379 of the family's 1533-position model. The record is from RNAcentral.